CAUGAAUUUCCAGUACUUUAUACAAAUCUUUGUAUUGAAUUUUAUUAAUUUUAUAUUAAGUUACCAUUAAUUAGAUGUAAUAUUAAAAUAAAUUGUCAAAAAAUUUCGUAAAUACACAGAAAUUUAUAAAAAGGUUUAAAAUGUAAUUUUGGGUAGUUUAUGGUAAGUUACCACAUUUAACCGUGUUACACAAACCAGAUUAUAAAUUCUGGCUCUCCCUAAUAACUUUAAAUUCUUUGAAAUCUUUCUUUAUUCACGGGGACCUAAUAACCAGUGUAAUCAUACGUGACCCAUACAUGAACUUGCAUUACACCGAUCCUCGCUAAAACCUUGGAUUCACGGAUUGUAAUCUUGGGUACAAAUAGUAUUUAAGUUUAUGUGGGCCAGCAGUUUUUUAUGAAUUAUAAAAAUAAAAAGAGAUAAGAAUCUUUCUUUUUCCUAUUUCUAAAAAAUGUGUGUAUAAAUUUAAAAUGAGCUUCGGAAAAACUUGGACGCAACUAUGUAAAGAAAUAAUGGGCAUCCGCAUGACGAAAAUAGCAAAAUAAUAUUACAUGAAAAUGAAAGAAAAUACAUACUACUGAAAAUACAUUACCGAUAAGUCAUAAAAGAGCUUACUCAAAUAGUUUCAGUGCUCAUUGUCUCAAACUUAAACUAGGAGUUGCUUAAUUGUAUUUUCACACACGUAUAUGUGACCGUCCGCAAAGAAAGGGGCCUUAUGCGUCAAAGCUGAAUUUUAGAAGAUGGACCAUCGUAGAAGAGUCCUCAAACCAGCAUUUCAGUAGUGGGGUUGCAUUUAAGAAAAAAACCCAAUCCACUGACCACUACACCUUUACGCGUCGUAUCCGUGAGCUUCGCUCGCACCGGGCCGCUUCGGUUAUACCUAGUAGUGUUGCGUGGUGGGGCUGGUUUUCGCAGACCUCUCGUUUCGUCUCCGCGUAUGCUAAGUAUUGCCUAAGUUUGCAUCUCAAUAAAAAAAGUAAUUAACUUGAACAAAUUCUGAUCAUUGAAAAUGAAAGAGUAACUUAUAAACUACCGAAUGGCGUCAGAAAAUAAAAAUCGAUUUUUUCCGCAUUAGGUCCCUUACUUCGGGGGCGGUCACAUAUGUUUAAAUGUUAUUCCUACGUAAUGCCAGAAAUACAAAGGAACCUAUAAUUCCGUAAUUAUUGGCAUUCAUUAGGGUAUAGUGAAACUAUAAAUACUAGAUAUCACCACUGUUCGCAAAAAAUUAUUUGCGUCUGAAAGAAGUAAACAGAUUGUUGAUUAUGUGUCGAAAUAAAUUUGAACUUCUCAAUUAAUGUAUUGCAAGACCUAGAAGUAGAAAUAGAAGAAGCUAUAUAAUUACAGAAAAAGGAACAAGAAAGAAAUUUUUCAAAAUUCAUUUGAGCUGAGUUUAAUUACUAGUUUAAAGAAAAUCACAUUUAGUUUGUAUACAAAAAUGCUGCUCUAUAAAUUCGUGAAAUAUUUUUUCUUUAUUUAAUUGAGCAUCCAAUUUUCUAAUGGAUGCACUAACAGCUGAUGACAUUUUCAUAUCUUUUCACUACGCUGAAAUCAGUCUCAUUUUUGUUUUAUGAAAUAUGUCACACGCAAUAUCUAUUAUUAUCUUCAAUGACUUCAAGUAAAAAUAUAAAAUUUUAAGUAUGUCCAAAUAUAAAAUUUGUUGGAUGAGCAUGGCAGAUUAAAAAAUGUAUCAUUAUUUAUAUAUUGUUGUUACUUAUAUAUUAUGUCGAUCCUUUCAGCGAAAUAUAGCACAAAAUAUUUUCGUUUAAAAUUGAUAUAAUAAUUUUGGAUUUUCAAUAAGUGUUAAAUGUCGUAAGUGACCUUAUUGCAUUACAAACAUUAUCUAGUUGUUAAAAAUAAAUGUAUUAUUCGUCAUCAAAUUUUGGGGGUACCGUAAUACCUCCCUCAUUUUUUAUUAGCAUUACUUUCGCUAAAAUCCUGGGCUCUGCCGAAGUUUGGAACGGGACUAUCAAAAAUGAGAGAGGGGAUGUGUUACGUGACAAUAUUUAUAAUAAGAUAGAAUUAUAUAAAACUGCAAUGCAAAUUUCUUCUAAACUUAUACAAAAUUAUCUGUUCAUCAAUGUUAUAAUUUCAUUUCUCAGUUUUUACAACAGUAAAACAUAGAACGCAAGAAAUGUUAAUCAACUUCUUCUAUGGUAUUAAUUAUAUUCACUAAAUUGUACAUUCAACGUACUUUCAAACCACAUAUUGUUAUCUGGAGAUGUUUUGGCCAAUUAAUUAUGCGUAAAAUUUGCCGAAUAAUUUUGAAUGUUGUCAAAUGUCUUAACUUGCUUAAUUGUAAUGAAAACAAUACUAGAGGGCAGAUGUUACGAGAACAUAACUACUUAAUAGUAUUAAUAAUAAAAAAACUAAAUUGCACUUCACUGCAUUAUAAAUUAUGUAAAAGAAAAUCGAUAGUUUGAUACAUGUAUGGAGGCGAGAGUGCAACCGUGAGAAUAUAUAAAUAAAUAACGCUUCUCCUGUUUCUGUAUGUGGAACCUUGGUUCUGAGUUAUCACUGCCGAGCUUCUUUUCAAGGGGACAACGACGAUUUCACGAGGGAUGAGUCUUUGAUGGCGAACCGGUCGUUCUUCCGAUAAACUGCAUUGAUGUUGGAUAAUAUAUCAAGGCAAAGGACCUCUAUAAUCUUUUCGCACCAGUCUUAUCAUGGCAGUCUUUUUCUACCAAUCUUGCAACGUACCAGUCUUCUAACAGCAAGUUAAAAGUCUAACAGCCAAGUUCUAACAGUCUUCUAAGCUCAUUAGUUCGAGCUUUCUGCGAGAAACUCGCAAUUCACCUUCAAUAGUUCGGUUCCGGAUUAAAAAUCUGCUUUGCCUACAACGAGUCUUGUUGACGUUCGAGUUCUUAUUCAACCUGAGCCAACCAUCGUGCUCAGACCAAACCAUUGUGCCCAGGCUAAACCAAGGGUCGAGUCCAGCUCAUCUCCAUCGAAAGUUUAAUUACCUGGUCAUCCUUCUACAUAUUGCCUGUCUGAAAUCAUAAUCAGUACCAAAGGCUUGGAACCGAUCAUUUUACCAGCUUCCGGCACAAAACUGAGGGCUAGACAGAUGAUCCAAAACGAGCCUUUCAUUCCAAGAACCUAAGAACAGACUAAUACAUGAUGGAAGGCAGCAAAACAGGUCUAUCACUUUAAACCUUAUAUGCCUCAAUCAACCAAUGUGUAAACCAAUGGAGUAAAUGACUUUCUUAUGAGCUAACCUAAAAAUAUCGAAUUUUAUAGAACUUUGCCUCAGUCAAGAUCCAUUCUAACUUUUGUUAACCUUAAAAUAUGGAUCCCCAAUCAUUAUCAUCGAAAUAACAUGAAUUAAGUCGCCUUCAAGUGUCACUAAGAGCUUACUUCGAUCACUUUUUAGUUAAUUUUUUAAAGAAGAUUGUGCGUCGAGAAUUGUAUACUUGCAAACAUGUGCCUAUUUAAUUUAAGAUAUAUCUCAAUUUAGGUAACCUGGUUGAAUUGUGUGAUUUUGUAGGUAUGUGCUAAUUUACUUUAGGAUUUGUCUAAUUGUAUAUAAUUUUAUAACUUAGGUAGUUUUCCGAAAUGUGUUAAUUUAAUUAGAAUUAAUUAGAACAUUUUAUUAACUAAAUUUAAGAUUAUACUUGUAACCUUCGGUAAUCAUGGGUUAUUACUAAUUUAGUGAUGGUAGGUUGAAUUCAGUUUUAAGGUUAGGUUUUGUCCGUCACUAGAUUUCCAAAACUAAGCCCCAGAUAACAAUAUGCGCGCACGGUGCAAGCACGAGUGCGAAUAAACCACGAAGCAUAUUACCAAACAGAUUGUGAACCUUUGCAUCAUGCAGAGACUUUUAGGUCAAGAAUUAUGUCAACCUAAACCCUCGAAUAUUUUUGAUUUUAUUUAAUUAAAUAAAUUAUUAUUUCUAAUUGU
Belonocnema kinseyi is the source of this 3894-nucleotide long non-coding RNA. RefSeq lists it as uncharacterized. The transcript is spliced from 2 exons. NCBI's taxonomy places the organism in Eukaryota, Metazoa, Arthropoda, Insecta, Hymenoptera, Cynipidae. The record is from RefSeq and is a predicted model, not a curated record.